CUCCAGACUCCUACGGGAGGCAGCAGUGGGGAAUAUUGCACAAUGGGGGAAACCCUGAUGCAGCGACGCCGCGUGAAGGAAGAAGUAUUUCGGUAUGUAAACUUCUAUCAGCAGGGAAGAAAAUGACGGUACCUGACUAAGAAGCCCCGGCUAACUACGUGCCAGCAGCCGCGGUAAUACGUAGGGGGCAAGCGUUAUCCGGAUUUACUGGGUGUAAAGGGAGCGUAGGCGGCGAUGCAAGUCAGAAGUGAAAGCCCGGGGCUCAACUCCGGGACUGCUUUUGAAAUUGUGUUGCUAGAUUGCAGGAGAGGAUAGUGGAAUUCCAGGUGUAGGAGUGAAAUCCGUAGAUAUCUGGAGGAACAUCAGUGGCGAAGGCGACUAUCUGGCACAUAACUGACGCUGAGGAGCGAAAGCGUGGGUAGCAAACAGGAUUAGAUACCCUAGUA
RNAcentral lists this ribosomal RNA (446 nucleotides) under uncultured bacterium. RNAcentral describes it as "bacterial SSU rRNA". It matches the Rfam family "Bacterial small subunit ribosomal RNA", at positions 329 to 792 of the family's 1533-position model. The record is from RNAcentral.